This 90-nucleotide transfer RNA is filed under the name Bifidobacterium dentium JCVIHMP022. RNAcentral's name for it is "tRNA-Ser". It matches the Rfam family "tRNA". Rfam says of the family: Transfer RNA (tRNA) molecules are approximately 80 nucleotides in length. Their secondary structure includes four short double-helical elements and three loops (D, anti-codon, and T loops). The record is from RNAcentral. Lineage: Bacteria; Bacillati; Actinomycetota; Actinomycetes; Bifidobacteriales; Bifidobacteriaceae.
UGGAUGGUUGGCCGAGUGGUCGAAGGCAUCUGCUCCGAAACCAGAAGGCCCGUGAGGGUCCGCAGGUUCGAAUCCUGCACCAUCCGCUUG